GUUAGAUUUAUAACCUUUUGCGGGAAAUCGUCUACCAAUCUAACACGAAAAUAAACAGUUUUCAGAUGAAAAGCUGAUGUACUGGAGACAGAUUGGUCAGCCAGUGAAAGAUGUUCUGUUGGUAUUGAGAAUAAAUGGAAUUCUAGCCAGACACAGGACAUCUACUUACCUGUCCAUGUGGAAGUGAGUGUAGUUGUUAUAGUUUCUGUUGAGCAGCAGAAUUAAUAAUUGAACUUAAAUCAGAUCCUAGAAAUCUACUGACAAGAUCCAGUGUCUAGGUGACAUUGACUGGUUGGAAUAGUAGUCUAGUGAGUAGUGGUAACAGAACUAAAUCAAGACACUAGACAUGUACGGACCUCCAUCAUGUCUUGGUGGAAGUGACUGCGGCUGGAAUAGUUGUCAAGUGAGCAGCAGGAAUUGAACUCAAGUCAGCAACUGGACCUGUACUUACCUCCAACUUGUUGAGGUGGAAGUGACUGCGGCUGGGAUAGUUGUCAAGUCAAGAAUUACCAGCCAAGUCUUGGCAGCCAGUGCAGUAAAGUGACUCCAAUUAAUGAGCUGACUGACAUGCAGUCCACAGACCUACAGGGACUGUCAGUGGAGCUGGAAA
Long non-coding RNA from Dreissena polymorpha, 610 nucleotides. RefSeq lists it as uncharacterized. Lineage: Eukaryota; Metazoa; Mollusca; Bivalvia; Myida; Dreissenidae. The transcript has 3 exons. The record is from RefSeq and is a predicted model, not a curated record.